This is an RNA transcript of Lolium rigidum, 2410 nucleotides long. It is a transcript of the gene named F-box protein CPR1-like, with no coding region annotated. NCBI's taxonomy places the organism in Eukaryota, Viridiplantae, Streptophyta, Magnoliopsida, Poales, Poaceae. The record is from RefSeq and is a predicted model, not a curated record. The transcript is spliced from 6 exons.
CGAGAGCGUCUGGGACAAGCAGAUGAAGCGCCGAGCCGCUGAACGACGGAACUACCGAUCUAUUCUGAUCUAAUAUAAUCGCUUUUUUACAUGGAGGAAAUGUCGAGAUGCCAUCAGUUUCUUCCUUGACACAUGGUUUGAUAGAAAGAUUGUUUAAGCUGAGACAAACAUGCAUACAUUUCGUGCUCAUUCUCUGCCCACAAUAUUAUUUAAUCGUCUGUUUCUAUCUAGUAUUCUUUGAGCCAAACUUUCAAGCAGUACUAAGUCCUAUCUCAUUUAUUGAAACAUGUGUUUGCAGCGGGAUCUGGUAGCUCAGCUGCCUUGGCAUUGGGUGGUCACUAUGGUUACUGGAGAAACCAGUUCAAAGAGACAAAUCAAUGAGGAAUGCAUCAUAAACUGCCUCCCAGUAGACCUCAUUGAGCGGAUAUUUUUUAGGCUUCCAGUUAGCACUCUGUUGAGGUGCGCAGGUGUGUGCAAGCACUGGUACAACUUUAUCCGGGAUCCCCUGUUUGUCGCAUCACACCUCCAGAAUGCGCACCGUUAUGCCCUUAUGUUCUUCCCACAAGGUUUGGUUUCAGGCGAGCCCCAUCCUAGUGAUGCUAUCCUAAUUGACGAAGCCUGGUCGCUGUCUACAUAUGCAGUGCCAGUGAUUGGGCCUGACGAUCUCCUCUUUGGUUCGUGCAAUGGUCUUCUUGGCUUAUACACAAAGACAUCAACAAUCAAGAUAGCUAACUUUGCAACUGGUGAAUGCAUGCAUCUUGCUAAACCUGGCAAGAAUAUGAGAGGUGAUCACUUUACUUUCUACAGCUUUGGAUUUCAUCCUGUGACAAAAGAAUACAAGAUUACACACUUCCUUGGUGACUGCGUUGAGGGUCGCCCCCGUAAUAAAGAUAAGUUUAGUAUUAUUCAAGUUUACACGCUUGGUGAUGAGAAAUGGAAAGAUAUCCCAACACCAGAAGCUCUUAGCUUGAACACUGUUAGGAACUCUGGGGUUGUCAAUGUCAAUGGAACAAUGUAUUCGUUAACUGAAAAUAUGAUAGCUAGCUGGCAGCAUGCAGUUAUGUCCUUUGAUCUCAGGGAAGAAAGUUUUGCGAUCAUAGCACUGCCAGCAGCACGUGAAGAUCAUGAUCAUUAUGGCCCUCGUAAGUUUUGGAUCAGAGAUAUAGAUGGGAAAUUGUGUAUGGUUACUGCUCAAACCCGUCGUUAUGAUGCCAGAUCUCUUGUUGGGGAGCUACAGAUCUGGACACUUGACAACAUGGCAGAGCAAAGGUGGAGCCAGAAGUACAAUAUUAAGAAUCCACCAAAUUACAUUCCAGGUCCACAUUUUGUUCACUGGGAUAGGAUCCUCACACAAUUGAGCAGCAGCGAUGUAGAUUCGUAUGAGUUGAUUGGUGAGAACAUUGAGAUUAGCUUCAGUAAGAUGGAAGAGCUGUUAGAUGUCAGCCCCCGUAAGCUGUACAACAUGCAAUCCUACAUCUGUGUGAAGUCACUUGUAUGUUUAGAUGUAUACAAGAAGGCUAGCAUUGUGCGUAGACCAAAACAGCAAGUAGGCUGGCAAUUGAAGAAGUGGGAGGCAUGGGAGCAUAAUCUUCGCGAGCUAGAGAAGUUGUGGGGCCACAGCCAAAAACAGGAGCAUCACUUAUCUGAAAUCGCAGAAAAAAUUGUUAAAAAGUAUCAGCCUUUCACAGAUAAGUUUCAUGCCAUAUCUGAAAAUCUACUCACAAUACGCAACCAGGUGUUGCAGCACAAGCCAGAAAAUCUCAAUCAGCCAAGGUUCCCCCGGCGACUUAAUUUGGUGGCACAGGAACGGGACAGGGAGGAGUUAUCGUCGCGUGUAAGUAAGAUAAGCGACAGUAUUGAGGCCAUUUCACAGGCACAGGAUAAUAUCUCUAGUAUUUUAAGAAGUCAUAUGUUGGAUCAGGAAGUGAUCGAGUAACCCCUCGACUAAUUCACCCAUAGAAUGGCGGCCUUGUUCUGAGAGUGUCAAUUGGAUGAAUGAUGCUCUCUCUAAAUGUGUUUGCAAUUGCUCCCCACGGACACCUUCCAUACUACAUCGGUUCUAUAUCAGUGAUAUAGGGUAAAUCAACCGCUAACGUUUCUUCCAGUGACGAUAAGAAGAACGAAUAAGAGAACCUUCCAUCUUGAACUUAGUUUUUUCUGGCACAUCUUGUUCCUGCCUGAAUUUCUUCCUGAGGGGUUUGUAAAUUCUGUCACGAGGAGACUCUUGCUCCCUUGGACUGGAUAUGUGCAACCAUUGUCUGUGCACUGAGUCGGCUUGUUCCAUUAGUUUGCUUGUCAUUGCAUUGCACUUUCAGCCUUUCAGUUCUCUCGUGCGUACAACAGCCCAGCACACAAUGCUGCUCUUCAGAGGGAUCCAACUGGAAUGGCGACCUUUGGCUGAAAAAGAAAU